AAGGAGCAUUCUCCAAUCCAAUGUCCACACAGGUGGAUGGUUGGUUGGCAGAGCCUGUUUCGGACCCACUUGUGGUCCGGCAGGAGCUCAUGGGUGGACGCUGACAAACUUCCUCGCAUUACGUCAGAUCACAUGAUCUGCCGGCGAGUGCAAUAUAUCGACAUACUGUUGGGUCCUGAGAGAACACGUGAGUGUUUCCUCUCUAGGAAGUAACGACAAAUAACUGCAAGUUGUCAUACCGCUCCACUGUGGUGGGUGUUGGUGUCAACGUGAAUGUGGUUGUUUGUGUGUUGUUUGAGAACUGCACAGUGGACGCGAGCAUCUUUGUU
This 329-nucleotide unclassified non-coding RNA is filed under the name Nocardia globerula. RNAcentral's name for it is "16S-23S ribosomal RNA intergenic spacer region". The record is from RNAcentral. Lineage: Bacteria; Bacillati; Actinomycetota; Actinomycetes; Mycobacteriales; Nocardiaceae.